RNAcentral lists this ribosomal RNA (477 nucleotides) under Streptococcus parasanguinis. RNAcentral's name for it is "bacterial SSU rRNA". It matches the Rfam family "Bacterial small subunit ribosomal RNA", at positions 28 to 495 of the family's 1533-position model. The record is from RNAcentral. Lineage: Bacteria; Bacillati; Bacillota; Bacilli; Lactobacillales; Streptococcaceae.
GAUGAACGCUGCGGCGUGCUUAAUACAUGCAAGUAGAACGCUGAAGCUUGGUGCUUGCACCGAGCGGAUGAGUUGCGAACGGGUGAGUAACGCGUAGGUAACUGCCUCUUAGCGGGGGAUAACUAUUGGAACGAUAGCUAAUACCGCAUAAAAGUCGAUAUCGCAUGAUAUUGAUUUGAAAGGUGCAAAUGCAUCACUAAGAGAUGGACCUGCGUUGUAUUAGCUAGUUGGUGAGGUAACGGCUCCCAAGGCGACGAUACAUAGCGACCUGAGAGGGUGAUCGGCCACACUGGGACUGAGACACGGCCCAGAUCCUACGGGAGGCAGCAGUAGGGAAUCUUCGGCAAUGGGGGCACCCUGACCGAGCAACGCCGCGGAGUGAAGAAGGUUUUCGGAUCGUAAAGCUCUGUUGUAAGAGAAGAACGAGUGUGAGAGUGGAAAGUUCACACUGUGACGGUAACUACCAGAAAGGCGGCG